Molecule: ribosomal RNA, 492 nt
Filed under: uncultured bacterium
Lineage: Bacteria
Description: partial 16S ribosomal RNA
Rfam family: Bacterial small subunit ribosomal RNA
Source: RNAcentral
AGUGAACGCUGGCGGUAGGCCUAACACAUGCAAGUCGAACGGCAGCACAGUAAGAGCUUGCUCUUACGGGUGGCGAGUGGCGGACGGGUGAGGAAUAUAUCGGAAUCUACUUUUUCGUGGGGGUUAACGUAGGGAAACUUACGCUAAUACCGCAUACGAUCUACGGGUGAAAGCAGGGGAUCUUUGGACCUUGCGCGAUUGAAUGAGCCGAUGUGGGAUUGGAUAGUUGGCGGGGUAAAGGCCCACCAAGGCGAGGAUCCGUAGCUGGUGUGAGUGGCUGAUCGGCCGCACUGGAACUGAGACAGGGUCCAGAGUCCUACGAGAGGCAGCAGUGGGGAAUAUUGGGCAAUGGGCGCAAGCCUGAUCCAGCCAUACCGCGUGGGUGAAGAAGGCCUUCGGGUUGUAAAGCCCUUUUGUUGGGAAAGAAAAGCAGCAGGUUAAUACCCCGCUGUUCUGGCGGUACCCAAAGAAUAAGCACCGGCUAACUUCGUG